UCCAGGUUCUCCACAGGAUCCAUCAGCUUGUGUUUUUUGAAUGAGGCGAUUAGGUGAUGAGGAUCCAGGAACAGUGCUGUGAGUCCGGUGGUCUACCUCAGUGCAGAACUGACACACACACGUCUGGUCGUCUCUACAGAACAGCUCCAGGGGUCUCUCAUGUUUCUGGCAGAUGUAGUCCUCCAGGUUCUCCACAGGAUCCAUCAGCUUGUGUUUCUUUAAUUUAGGUGUAGUUUUAUGAAGUGAUAGAUGAGA
Long non-coding RNA from Astyanax mexicanus (Mexican tetra), 255 nucleotides. RefSeq lists it as uncharacterized. The record is from RefSeq and is a predicted model, not a curated record. Lineage: Eukaryota; Metazoa; Chordata; Actinopteri; Characiformes; Acestrorhamphidae. The transcript has 3 exons.